RNAcentral lists this ribosomal RNA (488 nucleotides) under uncultured bacterium. Its description in RNAcentral is "partial 16S ribosomal RNA". It matches the Rfam family "Bacterial small subunit ribosomal RNA", at positions 30 to 523 of the family's 1533-position model. The record is from RNAcentral.
AUUGAACGCUGGCGGCAGGCCUAACACAUGCAAGUCGAGCGGGGUUUUCGGACCUAGCGGCGGACGGGUGAGUAAUGCGUAGGAAGCUGCCCGAUAGAGGGGGAUACCAGUUGGAAACGACUGUUAAUACCGCAUAAUGUCUACGGACCAAAGUGUGGGACCUUCGGGCCACAUGCUAUCGGAUGCGCCUACGUGGGAUUAGCUAGUUGGUGAGGUAAUGGCUCACCAAGGCGACGAUCUCUAGCUGGUUUGAGAGGAUGAUCAGCCACACUGGAACUGAGACACGGUCCAGACUCCUACGGGAGGCAGCAGUGGGGAAUAUUGGACAAUGGGCGCAAGCCUGAUCCAGCCAUGCCGCGUGUGUGAAGAAGGCCUUUGGGUUGUAAAGCACUUUCAGCGAGGAGGAAGGGUGGUGUGUUAAUAGCACAUCAUUUUGACGGUACCGACAGAAUAAGCACCGGCAAACUCUGUGCCAGCAGCCGCCGUAA